Molecule: ribosomal RNA, 253 nt
Filed under: uncultured bacterium
Lineage: Bacteria
Description: partial 16S ribosomal RNA
Rfam family: Bacterial small subunit ribosomal RNA
Source: RNAcentral
UACAGAGGCCUCGAGCGUUAGGCGGAAUCACUGGGCUUAAAGCGUGUGUAGGUGGAUGCCUAAGUACCUUGUGAAAUCCCACGGCUUAACCGUGGAACUGCUGGGUAUACUGGGUGUCUUGAGCCACUCAGGGGCUACCGGAACAAAUGGUGGAGCGGUGAAAUGCGUAGAUAUCAUUUGGAACGCCAAUGGUGAAAACAGGUAGCUGGGGCUGUGCUGACACUGAGACACGAAAGCCAGGGGAGCAAACGGG